This 194-nucleotide ribosomal RNA is filed under the name uncultured bacterium. RNAcentral's name for it is "partial 16S ribosomal RNA". It matches the Rfam family "Bacterial small subunit ribosomal RNA", at positions 46 to 236 of the family's 1533-position model. The record is from RNAcentral.
GCCUAACACAUGCAAGUCGAGCGGCAGCACAAGUAAGUUUACUUAUGAGGUGGCGAGCGGCGGACGGGUGAGUAAUGCCUAGGGAUCUGCCCAGUCGAGGGGGAUAACAGUUGGAAACGACUGCUAAUACCGCAUACGCCCUACGGGGGAAAGGAGGGGACCUUCGGGCCUUCCGCGAUUGGAUGAACCUAGGU